UUGGAGGGCAAGUCUGGUGCCAGCAGCCGCGGUAAUUCCAGCUCCAAUAGCGUAUAUUAAAGUUGUUGCAGUUAAAAAGCUCGUAGUUGAAUUUCGGGGUUAGUAGGUUGGUCAUGCCUCUGGUAUGUACUGAUCCCACUGAUUCCUCCUUCCUUAUGAACCGUAAUGCCAUUAAUUUGGUGUUGCGGGGAAUUUGGACUGUUACUUUGAAAAAAUUAGAGUGUUUAAAGCAGGCUAACGCUUGAAUACAUUAGCAUGGAAUAAUGAAAUAGGACGUUCGAUCUUAUUUUGUUGGUUUCUAGGAUUGACGUAAUGAUUAAUAGGGAUAGUUGGGGGCAUUAGUAUUCAAUUGUCAGAGGUGAAAUUCUUGGAUUUAUUGAAGACUAACUACUGCGAAAGCAUUUGCCAAGGAUGUUUUCAUUAAUCAAGAACGAAAGUUAGGGGAUCGAAGACGAUCAGGUACCGUCGUAGUCUUAACCAUAAACUAUGCCGACUAGGGAUCGGAUGAUGUUAAUUUUUUAAUGACUCAUUCGGCACCUUACGGGAAAC
This 549-nucleotide ribosomal RNA is filed under the name uncultured Glomus. Its description in RNAcentral is "SSU rRNA". It matches the Rfam family "Eukaryotic small subunit ribosomal RNA", at positions 548 to 1098 of the family's 1831-position model. The record is from RNAcentral. Lineage: Eukaryota; Fungi; Glomeromycota; Glomeromycetes; Glomerales; Glomeraceae.